UGAGGAGCUAGUCUAACCCAAGACCCCUAACUUCGACCUAGAAAAUCAUGACUUGCCUCAUGGCUCCCUA
RNAcentral lists this transfer RNA (70 nucleotides) under Tomistoma schlegelii (false gharial). RNAcentral describes it as "transfer RNA-Arg". Lineage: Eukaryota; Metazoa; Chordata; Crocodylia; Gavialidae. The record is from RNAcentral.